This is a long non-coding RNA of Mandrillus leucophaeus (drill), 491 nucleotides long. RefSeq lists it as uncharacterized. Lineage: Eukaryota; Metazoa; Chordata; Mammalia; Primates; Cercopithecidae. The transcript has 2 exons. The record is from RefSeq and is a predicted model, not a curated record.
GCCCCUUGAUUGGGCAAACUUCAAACAAGGUGACUGAGCUCCCUUAGCUGCCACUGACUGGCUCAGGAUGGACCACAAAUGUAGGAGGAGUUAAUCUGGAUCUAGCCUGAGCCAGUCAGACGUCCCCCUUGAAACCAUGCCUCUAGAAAUACAAAAAAUGGAAGUCAGAGGGUGAUGGAUCCUUGAAGUAACAGGUCGGCUCUGUGGAAGUUUGAGUGACUCAUUGCAGAGAGGAAUUGAUGAAGUCAACAGCUGCUGGAAAAACUUCUUUUUCCUUAAUAGCUGUAUCAACAUGUGGUUGCUAUUAUUCAAGUAAGAAAAAUAUGUAUAUCAAACAUCCAUGGUAGUCCUUGCUAAAUUUUCAUUAGAGAAACUCAUGUUUUGACAUUAACAAAAGUUCAAACGGGUACCUUCGAGGAUGUUUUGUUGGAGAACAAAAUCAUGGAGAAAUAAAGUCUAUAAAGAAAAACAAAUGGCAAGCAUGUUGUUAA